AGAAGGAGUUAGAACCUGAUUCGUUAGCAGAAAAGCUCGGAGCAGACAUUCUGUAGCAAGAUGGCCAUUCUGAACCAUGUGACUCCUUAGUUAAAACUUCAAGUUGCUGCUCAACCUGCUUGAGCCUCCCUUCAAUGCUGUUAAUGGGUUUUACCAUAUUUUCUUCAAACCUUAGAAAGCAAUUCUCUAUUCUGUCCAUUCGAGAAACAAGCUGGCCCAAAAUGUUUU
This 228-nucleotide unclassified non-coding RNA is filed under the name Hevea brasiliensis (rubber tree). Lineage: Eukaryota; Viridiplantae; Streptophyta; Magnoliopsida; Malpighiales; Euphorbiaceae. The record is from RNAcentral.